Molecule: ribosomal RNA, 208 nt
Filed under: uncultured bacterium
Lineage: Bacteria
Description: partial 16S ribosomal RNA
Rfam family: Bacterial small subunit ribosomal RNA
Source: RNAcentral
UACGGGGGGUGCGAGCGUUGUCCGGAAUCACUGGGCGUAAAGGGCGCGUAGGUGGUUUGAUAAGGGUGUGGUGAAAGUCCGGGGCUCAACCCCGGAUCUGCCGUGCCGACUGUCAAACUCGAGGGCUGUAGAGGCAGACGGAAUUCCGGGUGUAGCGGUGGAAUGCGUAGAGAUCCGGAGGAAGACCGGUGGCGAAGGCGGUCGCGGG